GGGCUGUUCGCCCAUUAAAGCGGUACGCGAGCUGGGUUCAGAACGUCGCGAGACAGUUUGGUCCCUAUCUGCCGUGGGCGUCGAAAUUUGAGAGGAGUUGACCCUAGUACGAGAGGACCGGGUUGGACUAACCUCUAGUGAAUCUGUUAUGGCGCCAGCUGUACUGCAGAGUAGCUACGUUGGGAAUAGAUAAGCGCUGAAAGCA
RNAcentral lists this ribosomal RNA (205 nucleotides) under Foraminifera environmental sample. RNAcentral describes it as "partial Bacterial large subunit ribosomal RNA". It matches the Rfam family "Bacterial large subunit ribosomal RNA", at positions 2574 to 2779 of the family's 2925-position model. Lineage: Eukaryota; Foraminifera. The record is from RNAcentral.